UACAGGGGGGGCAAGCGUUGUUCGGAAUUACUGGGCGUAAAGGGUUCGUAGGUGGCCAGCUUAGUCAGACGUGAAAUCCCUCAGCUUAACUGGGGAACUGCGUCUGAUACUGGAUGGCUUGAGUGCAGGAGAGGAACGCGGAAUUCCAGGUGUAGCGGUGAAAUGCGUAGAUAUCUGGAGGAACACCGGUGGCGAAGGCGGCGUUCUGGACUGCAACUGACACUGAGGAACGAAAGCCAGGGGAGCAAACGGG
This 253-nucleotide ribosomal RNA is filed under the name uncultured bacterium. RNAcentral's name for it is "partial 16S ribosomal RNA". It matches the Rfam family "Bacterial small subunit ribosomal RNA", at positions 524 to 776 of the family's 1533-position model. The record is from RNAcentral.